AGUGGUUAAGUGCUUGGCUGCUAACCAAAAGGUUGGUGGUUCGAACCCACUAGCCACUC
Molecule: transfer RNA, 59 nt
Filed under: Loxodonta africana (African savanna elephant)
Lineage: Eukaryota; Metazoa; Chordata; Mammalia; Proboscidea; Elephantidae
Rfam family: tRNA
About the family: Transfer RNA (tRNA) molecules are approximately 80 nucleotides in length. Their secondary structure includes four short double-helical elements and three loops (D, anti-codon, and T loops).
Source: Rfam by way of RNAcentral